GAGCUCGUAGGCGGUUUGUCGCGUCUGCCGUGAAAGUCCGGGGCUUAACUCCGGAUCUGCGGUAGGUACGGGCAGACUUGAGUGAUGUAGGGGAGACUGGAAUUCCUGGUGUAGCGGUGAAAUGCGCAGAUAUCAGGAGGAACACCGAUGGCGAAGGCAGGUCUCUGGGCAUUAACUGACGCUGAGGAGCGAAAGCAUGGGGAGCGAACAGGAUUAGAUACCCUGGUAGUCCAUGCCGUAAACGUUGGGCACUAGGUGUGGGGGACAUUCCACGUUUUCCGCGCCGUAGCUAACGCAUUAAGUGCCCCGCCUGGGGAGUACGGCCGCAAGGCUAAAACUCAAAGGAAUUGACGGGGGCCCGCACAAGCGGCGGAGCAUGCGGAUUAAUUCGAUGCAACGCGAAGAACCUUACCAAGGCUUGACAUGAACCGGAACGGCGCAGAGAUGUGUCGGCCACUUGUGGCCGGUUUACAGGUGGUGCAUGGUUGUCGUCAGCUCGUGUCGUGAGAUGUUGGGUUAAGUCCCGCAACGAGCGCAACCCUCGUUCCAUGUUGCCAGCGGGUUAUGCCGGGGACUCAUGGGAGACUGCCGGGGUCAACUCGGAGGAAGGUGGGGACGACGUCAAAUCAUCAUGCCCCUUAUGUCUUGGGCUUCACGCAUGCUACAAUGGCCGGUACAAAGGGUUGCGAUGCUGUGAGGUGGAGCUAAUCCCAAAAAGCCGGUCUCAGUUCGGAUUGAGGUCUGCAACUCGACCUCAUGAAGUCGGAGUCGCUAGUAAUCGCAGAUCAGCAA
Molecule: ribosomal RNA, 792 nt
Filed under: Arthrobacter sp. B32
Lineage: Bacteria; Bacillati; Actinomycetota; Actinomycetes; Micrococcales; Micrococcaceae
Description: bacterial SSU rRNA
Rfam family: Bacterial small subunit ribosomal RNA
Source: RNAcentral